Molecule: ribosomal RNA, 492 nt
Filed under: uncultured bacterium
Lineage: Bacteria
Description: partial 16S ribosomal RNA
Rfam family: Bacterial small subunit ribosomal RNA
Source: RNAcentral
AGUGAACGCUGGCGGUAGGCCUAACACAUGCAAGUCGAACGGCAGCACAGUAAGAGCUUGCUCUUACGGGUGGCGAGUGGCGGACGGGUGGGGAAUACAUCGGAAUCUACUUUUUCGUGGGGGAUAACGUAGGGAAACUUACGCUAAUACCGCAUACGACCUACGGGUGAAAGCAGGGGAUCUUCGGACCUUGCGCGAUUGAAUGAGCCGAUGUCGGAUUAGCUAGUUGGCGGGGUAAAGGCCCACCAAGGCGACGAUCCGUAGCUGGUCUGAGAGGAUGAUCAGCCACACUGGAAUUGAGACACGGUCCAGACUCCUACGGGAGGCAGCAGUGGGGAAUAUUGGACAAUGGGCGCAAGCCUGAUCCAGCAAUACCGCGUGGGUGAAGAAGGCCUUCGGGUUGUAAAGCCCUUUUGUUGGGAAAGAAAAGCAGCAGGUUAAUACCCCGCUGUUCUGACGGUACCCAAAGAAUAAGCACCGGCUAACUUCGUG